AGGUCUGCCGAGGUCCCGCGGCAGGAGAGCCCGGGGACUGCAUGCGUCUGCGCAGCUGCGAGGUUAAGCCGCCCUUUGGCGGUCCCCAGGACGGUUCCUGGUGCCAGACGGUCCCAGGCCUGGGCAAGGUGGCUUAUGCCUGUAAUCCCAGCACUUUAGGAGACCGAGGCAGGUGGAUCACUUGAGGCCAGGAGUUUGAGACCAGCCUGGCCGUGGUGAAACCCCGAAUCUACUAAAAAUAUAAAAAUUGGCCGAGCAUGGCGGCUCAUGCCUGUAAUCCCAGCUACUUGGGAGGAUGAGGCAGAAGAAUGGCUUGAACCUGGGAGGUGGAGGUUGCAGUGAGCCGAGAUCUCACCACUGCACUCCAGCCUGGGCGACAGAGUGAGACUGUCUCAAAAAAAAAUUUUUGUUAUUAUAAUAAACUGUAUUUUGUGCAAGCCAUUUUA
This is a long non-coding RNA of Homo sapiens (human), 446 nucleotides long. RefSeq lists it as uncharacterized. The record is from RefSeq and is a predicted model, not a curated record. The transcript has 2 exons. Lineage: Eukaryota; Metazoa; Chordata; Mammalia; Primates; Hominidae.